Molecule: ribosomal RNA, 896 nt
Filed under: Ramularia miae
Lineage: Eukaryota; Fungi; Ascomycota; Dothideomycetes; Mycosphaerellales; Mycosphaerellaceae
Description: eukaryotic LSU rRNA
Rfam family: Eukaryotic large subunit ribosomal RNA
Source: RNAcentral
CGCUGAACUUAAGCAUAUCAAUAAGCGGAGGAAAAGAAACCAACAGGGAUUGCCCUAGUAACGGCGAGUGAAGCGGCAACAGCUCAAAUUUGAAAUCUGGCGCAAGCCCGAGUUGUAAUUUGUAGAGGAUGCUUCUAGGUAGCGACCGGUCUAAGUUCCUUGGAACAGGACGUCAUAGAGGGUGAGAAUCCCGUAUGUGACCGGCCCGCACCUUCUACGUAGCUCCUUCGACGAGUCGAGUUGUUUGGGAAUGCAGCUCUAAAUGGGAGGUAAAUUUCUUCUAAAGCUAAAUACCGGCCAGAGACCGAUAGCGCACAAGUAGAGUGAUCGAAAGAUGAAAAGCACUUUGGAAAGAGAGUUAAAAAGCACGUGAAAUUGUUGAAAGGGAAGCGCUCACAACCAGACUUCUGGGCGGUGUUCCGCCGGUCUUCUGACCGGUCUACUCACCGUCCCGAGGCCAACAUCAUCUGGGACCGCCGGAUAAGACCUCAGGAAUGUAGCUCCCCUCGGGGAGUGUUAUAGCCUGUGGUGAUGCGGCGCGUCUCGGGUGAGGUCCGCGCUUCGGCAAGGAUGUUGGCGUAAUGGUUGUCAGCGGCCCGUCUUGAAACACGGACCAAGGAGUCUAACAUCUAUGCGAGUGUUCGGGUGUCAAACCCCUACGCGUAAUGAAAGUGAACGGAGGUGGGAAGGGCAACCUGCACCAUCGACCGAUCCUGAUGUCCUCGGAUGGAUUUGAGUAAGAGCAUAGCUGUUGGGACCCGAAAGAUGGUGAACUAUGCCUGAAUAGGGUGAAGCCAGAGGAAACUCUGGUGGAGGCUCGCAGCGGUUCUGACGUGCAAAUCGAUCGUCAAAUUUGGGUAUAGGGGCGAAAGACUAAUCGAACCAUCUAGUAGCUG